Molecule: ribosomal RNA, 212 nt
Filed under: Neisseria meningitidis
Lineage: Bacteria; Pseudomonadati; Pseudomonadota; Betaproteobacteria; Neisseriales; Neisseriaceae
Description: partial 16S ribosomal RNA
Rfam family: Bacterial small subunit ribosomal RNA
Source: RNAcentral
UAUCGGAACGUACCGAGUAGUGGGGGAUAACUGAUCGAAAGAUCAGCUAAUACCGCAUACGUCUUGAGAGAGAAAGCAGGGGACUUUCGGGCCUUGCGCUAUUCGAGCGGCCGAUAUCUGAUUAGCUAGUUGGUGGGGUAAAGGCCUACCAAGGCGACGAUCAGUAGCGGGUCUGAGAGGAUGAUCCGCCACACUGGGACUGAGACACGGCC